Molecule: non-coding RNA, 269 nt
Organism: Ictidomys tridecemlineatus (thirteen-lined ground squirrel)
Lineage: Eukaryota; Metazoa; Chordata; Mammalia; Rodentia; Sciuridae
Source: RefSeq, a predicted model, not a curated record
GUUAACAGAGACCAACCAGAUGGGGCAGGCUGCUCUUGAACUUUCAACCUACAAAACUGUGAAUGAAGUAAGCCUCUACUUUAUAAAGGACCCAGACACAGUACCAGCACCACAUGGAUGAUGUCAAAGUCUGCCACCAGCUUAAGAAGUAGCCAGACCUCCUUGAACUUAUGGCUGCAGCAGCCUCUCUGAAUGCCUAGCAGCUGAGUGUGAUAAAAUGAAGUCUGGGGAAACAACUCUAUAGCCUCUCUAGUAAAACAGGAUGCCCC